AUGGUCCGCCGCCGCCGCCGCCGCCGUCUCGCGUCCCCCAUCAUGCCGCUCCCGGCGCCUGCGCCGCCGCUGGACAACGACGACCUCCUCCGUGAGAUCCUACUCCUCCUUCCUCCGCAGCCAUCCUCCCUCCUCCGCGCCUCCGUGGUCUGCAAGCGCUGGCGCCGCCUCGUCUCCGAUCCGAGAUUCCUCCGCCGCUUCCGCGCGCACCACCGUAGGCCCCCACUCCUCGGCUGCUUCUCCUACGACCAAGAUAUCGGUUACGUCUUCACUCCCACGCUGGACCCGCCCGACCGCAUCCCCGCCGCGCGUUUCUCCCUGCCGCAGCGCUGCCGCGACGAGGGAGGGUUGGACUUCGUGGAAUGCCAUCACGGCCUCGCCCUUUUCCUCAAUAAGAAACAACCCGAGGCCGUCGUGUGGAACCCCAUCUCCGGUCACCAGCACCGAGUAGCUUUUCCACCAGAGUUCGGCGACGCUAGAGAGAGGGAGAUCCUAUGCGCGGCGGUGCUCUGCGCUGCCGGUGAUGACGACCCUGGCCAUGUGCACGGUGAUUGUGGCUUGAGCUCUUUUAAAUUGGCUUUGGUGCGAGGUGGCCAAGACCAUGCAAGUCUAUUUGUGUGCCUCUACAAAUCCAAGUCUGGCCUAUGGGGAAAUGUUAUCUCAACGACUAAAGACUGGUACACAUUGUUUUAUUGGAGAAAGUCCAGCGUCCUGAUUGGGAAUGCACUUUACUGGUGGUGUUGCCAGAUUGAAGGUUGCAUUCUUGAGUUUGAUUUUAAAAUGCAGAAGCUUGUUACAAUUGAGAAGCCAGUAGACGGCGGUUGUUCCAACUAUCAGAUCAUGCGGACAGAGGAAAGUAGUCUCGGACUCAUCAUUUUGACAGAACUGACCAUGCAGUUAUGGGAGCGGAAGGUCAGUUCUGAUGAUGUUGCUACAUGGGUCCUUCAGAAAACCAUUGAGUUGACAAAGCACCUUUGGCCAAGACAGUCCGUCCAGGUCUUCUGGACCAGGAUACAUGGGUACGAGGAGGAUCACAAUGUGAUAUUUCUGGGGACAUCUAGUGGUUCUUUCAUGAUUCAACUCGACUCAAUGCAGUUCAAUAACCGAUUCCAAUUCAAGUCCAUCUUCACCCAUUUUCCCUACACAAGCUUUUAUGCUGCUGACUGGGCUGCUGGUGGUAGAGAUGAUGGAACUGAAAUGUGA
Molecule: ribosomal RNA, 1203 nt
Filed under: Triticum aestivum (bread wheat)
Lineage: Eukaryota; Viridiplantae; Streptophyta; Magnoliopsida; Poales; Poaceae
Description: partial small subunit ribosomal RNA
Source: RNAcentral